Molecule: transfer RNA, 73 nt
Filed under: Ailuropoda melanoleuca (giant panda)
Lineage: Eukaryota; Metazoa; Chordata; Mammalia; Carnivora; Ursidae
Rfam family: tRNA
About the family: Transfer RNA (tRNA) molecules are approximately 80 nucleotides in length. Their secondary structure includes four short double-helical elements and three loops (D, anti-codon, and T loops).
Source: Rfam by way of RNAcentral
ACCUGGCUGGCUCAAUAGGUAGAGCAGGUGACUCUUGAUCUCAGGGUUGUGAGUUCAAGCCCCACAUUGGGCA